Molecule: non-coding RNA, 56 nt
Organism: Triticum aestivum (bread wheat)
Lineage: Eukaryota; Viridiplantae; Streptophyta; Magnoliopsida; Poales; Poaceae
Source: Rfam
GCUCAGUUGGUAAAGCACAAGGCUCUUAACCUUAUGGACGUGGAUUCAAGUCCCAU